AUGAACGUUGGCGGCGUGGAUUAGGCAUGCAAGUCGAGCGAGAACCCGCAAGGGGGACAGCGGCGAACGGGGUAGGACAACGUAGGUAACGUACCCUCGGGGCGAGGACAGCCACGGGAAACUGUGGGUAAUACUCGAUAAUGUUCCCAAUCUUGAUUGGAGGGGAACCAAUGGGUGUGAUUCCACCUGAGGAGCGGCUUACGCAGUAUCAGCUUGUUGGCGAGGUAACGGCUCACCAAGGCUAUGACGCUUAGGGGAUGUGAGAGCAUGAUCCCCACCACUGGCACUGAGACACUGGCCAGACACCUACGGGUGGCUGCAGUCGAGAAUCUUCGGCAAUGGACGCAAGUCUGACCGAGCGACGCCG
RNAcentral lists this ribosomal RNA (367 nucleotides) under uncultured bacterium. Its description in RNAcentral is "bacterial SSU rRNA". It matches the Rfam family "Bacterial small subunit ribosomal RNA", at positions 29 to 399 of the family's 1533-position model. The record is from RNAcentral.